RNAcentral lists this ribosomal RNA (253 nucleotides) under uncultured bacterium. Its description in RNAcentral is "partial 16S ribosomal RNA". It matches the Rfam family "Bacterial small subunit ribosomal RNA", at positions 524 to 776 of the family's 1533-position model. The record is from RNAcentral.
UACGUAGGGUGCGAGCGUUAAUCGGAAUUACUGGGCGUAAAGCGUGCGCAGGCGGUUUUGUAAGCCAGAUGUGAAAGCCCCGGGCUUAACCUGGGAAUGGCAUUUGGGACUGCAAGGCUUGAGUGCGGCAGCGGAGACUGGAAUUCCUGGUGUAGCAGUGAAAUGCGUAGAUAUCAGGAGGAAUACCGAUGGCGAAGGCAGGUCUCUGGGCUGACACUGACGCUCAUGCACGAAAGCGUGGGGAGCAAACAGG